This 25-nucleotide ribosomal RNA is filed under the name Styphnolobium japonicum (Japanese pagoda tree). RNAcentral's name for it is "partial 18S ribosomal RNA". The record is from RNAcentral. RNAcentral also lists the same sequence under 19 other names. Lineage: Eukaryota; Viridiplantae; Streptophyta; Magnoliopsida; Fabales; Fabaceae.
GAACCUGCGGAAGGAUCAUUGUCGA